This 240-nucleotide long non-coding RNA is filed under the name Elaeis guineensis (African oil palm). RNAcentral describes it as "long non-coding RNA (EGUI_LNC008795)". Lineage: Eukaryota; Viridiplantae; Streptophyta; Magnoliopsida; Arecales; Arecaceae. The record is from RNAcentral.
GGCCUAACCAAUUGGGGCUAAUCGCUGGCACACGUUGAUGCAUUCGCAUGUUUAUUUUUAGGACUAAUCUAUUUAUUUUAUCAUGGAGCUAAUCAUGGUUGUGUGAAUCAAAGCUAGUUUUCUUCUAGAUCUAAUCAAUGGAGCUGAUCACUGGUAUACACCGAUGGAUUGGAUAUUCUGUAUUCAAGAACUACUCUCUUAUGGAUCUUAUUAUAGGACUGAUCAUGGCCAUAGUCAUCA